GUGUCAGCCGCCGCGGUAAUACGUAGGUGGCGAGCGUUAUCCGGAAUUACUGGGCGUAAAGCGCACGCAGGCGGCGAGACAAGUCUGACGUGAAAUCUCUUGGCUUAACCGGGAGGGGUCGUUGGAAACUGUCUGGCUUGAGGCGAUGAGAGGGACAUGGAAUUCCCGGUGUAGUGGUGGAAUGCGUAGAUAUCGGGAGGAACACCAGAGGCGAAAGCGGUGUCCUGGCAUUGGCCUGACGCUCAUGUGCGAAAGCGUGGGGAGCGAACGGGAUUAGAUACCCGUGUAGUCC
Molecule: ribosomal RNA, 292 nt
Filed under: uncultured bacterium
Lineage: Bacteria
Description: partial 16S ribosomal RNA
Rfam family: Bacterial small subunit ribosomal RNA
Source: RNAcentral